Molecule: long non-coding RNA, 1868 nt
Filed under: Cucumis sativus (cucumber)
Lineage: Eukaryota; Viridiplantae; Streptophyta; Magnoliopsida; Cucurbitales; Cucurbitaceae
Description: long non-coding RNA (CSAT_LNC000186)
Source: RNAcentral
AAGGAUAAUUAAUCAAUGAAAAAGAAAUGAAGAGGUUUAUCCAUGCAAGCUUCAAACCAAAGUCAAGGAUGUCGAUCCUUCCAGGGGAGUCCAAAGUUCCCCCUUAUUCUUCUCCCUUUACUUGGAUUUUCAAAAGCUUGCAAUUUUUUAAGUGGGGGUGGGCAAUAGCUUACAUGUUUAGUCUAAACUUGGGGGUUCAAAUAUUUUGCCCAAAUUUCAAAAUUUCUAAAACAAAUUUCCUUACAAUAAGGAGCAUUAUACCUCAUUAGCUUACUUAGAUCUUGCAUAAAAAGCAUGACCGGCAACCCUUGACCACUGAGCUUGGGUUUGUGAUGUAAAAUUCUGAAUGUUGAUGAUUAUAUGUGCUGAAAUUUGAGAAUAAGCUGCCGUCUUUUUUGGUUUACGUCCCUUUUUAGCGAUAUCUUAUUGAGAUGUUAGCGAUAUCUUGUUGAGAUGUGAAUGCUUGAUUGAGAAAAUGGUAUGUGUGUUGUGAAUGCUUGAUUGCAUGUAUAUAAUAAAUAAGUGCAUGGAUACUUUUCUAGCUUUGUCUUCCUUUGUUGCUUUGCCGUGACUUACCUAUGAUGCGCUUAGUCCAAACCUAGCCUAGAUAGAGUUAAAAAAGGAUAGGAGGUACUCUUUAGAAAUUGAGAUGGUUUUAAUAAAUAACAUGAGCUAGGAGCCGUUUGUCUAGCCACAAUGAACUAAAUCCCUUUAAGAAAGGGUGGACAUUAACAAAACUUGUUGCCACUUCGAAGGGAGUAGUCAAACUUAGAAACUAAGUGUAGAACCAUAGAAAGGUUAGCCCACCGGUUCUAGCAAGACCUAGUUACCACAUUGCAUAUCAAAGAAAGAAUAGAGAGACUUGUAAACGUAAACAGUGAAACAAUUAAGAGCUAAAAAAAACAAACAACAUAUGCAAUAUACAUCAGAAAAAUCCCAUAAAAAAUGAGGGGAAACUUCACUUAUGGCCUAACCAAAACCAGACCACCUACUCUUAGCGUUCUAGACAUAGCAUCGAGUUUGAUGAGGGCUUUGAAAAGAGGAGGAAUCCUCCCCGUUCCACACUAGGGGGAAAACGAGGCUUGUUGUCACUCCGAAGGGAGCAGUCAAACUUAGCAUUGAGUUUGACGAGGGCUUUGAAAAGAGGAGGAAUCCUCCCCGUUCCAUAGUAGGGGGAAAACGAGGCUUGUUGUCACUCCGAAGGGAGCAGUCAAACUUAGAAACCAAGUCUAGAACCAUGGAAAGGUUACCCCACCGAUUCUUGUGUGCGUACCAAAGAAACAAAAGAGAUAGUUGCAAAUGUAAAACAUAAAACAGCGGGACAAUUAAGAGCUAAAAAAAACAAACAACAUAUGCAAUAUACAUCAGAAAAAUCCCAUAAAAAAUGAGGGGAAACUUCACUUAUGGCCUAACCAAAACCAGACCACCUACUCUUAGCGUUCUAGACAUUAUACAUCAGAAAAAUCCCAUUCAGAUUGUUUUAUCUUCUCAUGUUGGGCUACUUCCAAGCAAUGUUUUAAGUGAAGGGUGGAUAAUAGCUCACUUGUUUAGUCUAAACUUGGGGGAUUUCAAAUUUUGUCCAAAUUUCAAAAUUUUUCAAAAGUUUUUCAUUACAAUAAUGAGCAUCAUAGCUUCUUAGAUCUUGCAUAAAAGGCAUGACUGUCAACCCUUGAGCACUAAGCUCGGGUUUGUGACGUGAGAUUCUGAAUUUUGAUGAGUAUAUGUACUGAAAUUUGAGAAUAAGCUUAUGUCCUUUUUGUGUUUGCUAAGUUUCAACUAAUACUCUCAGUAUUUAUCUUUGUGCUUAUGUGAUAGAUUUGUUAUGCACUGUAGUGAUGUGGGGUGUUUCCUUAUUUUCUGCAUCUUAA